CUUCGUUUCUGCGGAUGCGAGUCCACCCAUCGCCUUUGUCCUCCUCAAUCACGCUCAGCGUUUCUCCUUCAACUACGGAAAUGGUGCCUUCGUUCUGACCUGGAAGAGUAAAGUGAGGUGUGAGGUCUCAGGCAGCGCUGGGAGGGACCUGGCAAUGGCGUAUUAGAGUCAAGGUUCUUCCUACCGUCUGUGGACCCUUCCUCAGGGGACAAUGGUGUGCCUGGCGGCAGCUUAAACAAUAUCAGCAGCUCCUUAGUGCCAGCUAAGUAAAAGCAGACACCUCUUUUUCUCACCCAGG
This is a long non-coding RNA of Mastomys coucha (southern multimammate mouse), 298 nucleotides long. RefSeq lists it as uncharacterized. Lineage: Eukaryota; Metazoa; Chordata; Mammalia; Rodentia; Muridae. The transcript is spliced from 3 exons. The record is from RefSeq and is a predicted model, not a curated record.